Long non-coding RNA from Bradysia coprophila, 188 nucleotides. RefSeq lists it as uncharacterized. The record is from RefSeq and is a predicted model, not a curated record. Lineage: Eukaryota; Metazoa; Arthropoda; Insecta; Diptera; Sciaridae.
GUAGGAUUUAACCGAUUACUCUGUUUAUUCGUGACCACCGAUGUUUUAACAUUGGAAUGAAUUUUGACGAAACACUUAUGUGUCAAUGGUAGUCCUAAGUUUGUAAACAUUCGAGCCACUGAUGAUGACAUCAAAUUGAUGUCGAAAUUGAUUUGGCAUUAAAUGAAAUUGAAUUGAGCAACUCCGAG